CACGAGUCUAGAGCCUCUAACAUAACUGAGUAAUAAUUAAAGUAUCUGAAUAACAACAUAAAAAGUGUGGGAGAGUAUAUAAUAAUAAUGAACUAAGAAAAAAAUGAAGAGCAGCCAGGUCCUGCGAACGUCAUGCAACUACCUCAACAGCUCUGGGAAUAUCUCUGGAGACUAUGAGUAUCAGCUAGCCUCCAGUGUACCGGAA
RNAcentral lists this long non-coding RNA (205 nucleotides) under Nicotiana benthamiana. RNAcentral describes it as "long non-coding RNA (NBEN_LNC018291)". The record is from RNAcentral. Lineage: Eukaryota; Viridiplantae; Streptophyta; Magnoliopsida; Solanales; Solanaceae.